GUGCAAACGAAGAUAACAUUAACAGCUAUUUGCAUUGGUUUGAUGUUUUUGUUUUCUAUGGUAGUUUUGACUGAUGAAUUACUGGACAGAUACUGCAGAAAAGUUUACUUUCUUUACACGCCACAAUGUCACCAAAGUCACAAAAAGGUCAUAGAGGGUGAAGAUUUUGAACUGAAUUACAAGUUGUCGACUGACAGAUUUCCAAUUCGCUUUUUGAAAAAUGGUGCAUUUUUACCAGAAACAAAUAAUGUCAUGAGGCGUAUAGCUGGUCGUUGGAAAACUUUAGUGAUCACUGGCAUUACUCUUAAUGAUGA
Molecule: long non-coding RNA, 314 nt
Organism: Mytilus trossulus (common blue mussel)
Lineage: Eukaryota; Metazoa; Mollusca; Bivalvia; Mytilida; Mytilidae
Exons: 3
Source: RefSeq, a predicted model, not a curated record